CGGCAGGGCUGUCACUAAGAUUAGCAGUCGUCUCUUCAUUUACAAUCCUCCUCAUAAGCAAGUGAUUGAAAUGCACCUUUGUGAAGGGCAAGACAACAGCAACGGCUUCUUGAGCACAAAUAAAAUGUUCCUAAUUCCUUUGAGAUUUCUCGACUCUACUACUUACAUUCAGUCAUGCCAUGGGACAAAGCAGUGGCACAACAGGUGUGUCACCACCCACAGGAUGCAGACCAGCAGAUGGAGGGGGCCUGUCCAGCAGUGGUGCCAUGGGAACAGGGAGCACUGGGCAUGGGUAUAGCUGCAGCUGUUGGGGCAAUGGUGGGACCAGUUGCAUUACAUCACAAGGCGGAUGGACAAGUGUGGGGAUCUUCUCUCUGUUGCUGUGUAGAAACUUACAAAUUUUUGGAGGAAUUGCUACCCAUGUCUUUAAUGAAACAAGUAUUCACAUUUAAGAAUUAACGGUUUGAUCAAAGAGCACAUCAACGCUGCUUUGAAGAAUCUCAUCAUUCAUGCUUCAGUAAACAAACAUCCUGUGCUCAUUAUUAUUAUUAUUACUCAUCAGACCUAUUUCAGUCCAUCUGUUGUUUUUUUUUUUUUUUUUUUGUAUUGCAUAUGUUGUUUUUUUCCUCAUCACAAAGAGAGUAACCAUUGGUUUUUCAUGUAUUCAAACACAGUGACAUAUAGUGAUGUUAAUUUACAUGUGAUAUGAAAGCUUUGGUCAGAUCUUCUGCAUCUCAGUGUAGUUUCGAAUGUACAGUAAUUGCAUUAACAAGGAUCCCAGUACAAUACCAGGCGGAUUCUGGUUUAGAUAAAAUGAUUAAAAUUCUAUAUUGGCCCAAAAGAUCAAGAACCACACAUAAUUGUUGUAGCCUCAUAAAAAUGCGUAAGGCAAAGGUGACAAAAUCAGGUCUGAUGUAUAGGCAAUUGUCACAAAGCCACUCAUGAUUGUGUAUCGGAGAAGGGAAGUAAUGUAACAAACAGGAACUUUGUAUUUUAGUGAGUCAAUGUCACUUCUAUACACUAAAUGGACACCUCCUUCAUAACACCUUGUUUAGAUUGCAUUUCUUUGAGUUAGAGUACAGUACAAGAAAGACUCCCAUCUUACCUAUUUAAUGAAGACCCUGGUUAUCUGAAGAUUUGAUAUUGUCAACACUUCCCUGGCUCCAUUCUUCUAGGAAGCUAAUGACCCUGGCUGUAUCCUCUGCAGUCUCUUUCUUGUGCACGAAAGUUACCUUCUGUACAGACAACAAAGCCCAAUGCUUCACACUGGAGAAGUUGGCACUGGUUAUACUGCAUCUGGUUUAAGUGGGAAAAUCAUCCACAUGAUUUGAGUGCUUUUGUGAAUUUCAGUUAAUGGUAGGAUCAUGGGCUGUGCAGUGUGGUAAGAGUCAGUGCCAAAUAUAGAUACUAUAAAGUUUAAUUCAGUAAUUGUUGCUGGCAAAACAGUAGCCAAAACGGCAUGGAUUCUGACCACUGACUCUAUAGACCCAUUGGUUGGUUUAACCUUUAUUAUGUAUAGCUGUCUAUGGUUACUACCAGAAGCAAGAAAACCAGUUCAUUUGACUUGGCUUAAAGGGGUGCUAAUCAAGGAUUAUUACAAUAAGCGGCAUUAUCACUGGUGGUCUAAGCUCUAGUGUGUUUUAAUCUAUCUUGCAUUCAUUCAGUUUCCACAAAAGAAUGACUGGGGCGAAUCACUAGGUUUUGAAUCGUGUUGCUGAUUAGAUUUGGAGCUUGAUAUAAGGAAAGCAGUUCUAAAUUCAGCUGUUUAAUUUAGGGUUAAACAUACUUUCUUUUCCAUUAAUUGAGCUUGUUCAUGAACAGAAUACUACUUGUGUACAUCGCAAGCUGUGUUAAUUUCAAUGUAACAAUCCCCAUUCAUCAAACAUCGACAGAACUCCAUGAAAGUAUCUUAUGUGAAUUGAACCUUCUGCUUGGUCUUUCUAUUGUCCCACUCGCUACCUUUGAAACCUUUGUCUUCAUUUCCAGUGUAGUCUAAAUCUGAAGGUACCGGAGCGCCAUUAAAUAUUGAUUUUCACAAACAGGAAUUGUUACAUGAAUUCACAAUUUAUUUAUAUACUAAACUUCUAGUAACACAUAUAUGUAUUUAUCUAAUUUCUAUAUGUAUUUGCACAAAGUGUCUUUCUCCAUCUUGUCAGAAUGCUUUGCUUUACGUGCCUCGGUGUGUCAGUGGCUUCAUUUGUGUUCACAGUCGUAAGCCCCUUUCACACUGGCAUGCUCUACCCGGGUCGGAACCUACCCAGGUCUGGGCCCGGUGUCAUGCGGGUCUGCUACGUGAUUUCACACUGCUUUUGAUAAAGCAGGGUUGACCUGGGUAACAGACCCAAGCCUCUGAAGCAGCUUGCUACAGACACUUCAAUCUAAGCUUCUCGGAACUGAGUCGUCGAUUGAAUGUUGGUUAGAGCAAACGUUUCUUCAUUCCUGCUACAAUCUGGCUCAUGGUGUGUCUCAUGGAACAAAAAUAUGGCUAAACAGAAUAAACAAAAACAUUCCUU
Molecule: long non-coding RNA, 2513 nt
Organism: Polyodon spathula (Mississippi paddlefish)
Lineage: Eukaryota; Metazoa; Chordata; Actinopteri; Acipenseriformes; Polyodontidae
Exons: 5
Source: RefSeq, a predicted model, not a curated record